AAAAACAAAUGAUCACGACAAGGAAGAAAAAAAAAAAAAAAAAAAAAAAAGCCGAUAUCUAAAUGUCAAUGUUCGGUGUCACAGGUUCGUACCAUCA
RNAcentral lists this non-coding RNA (97 nucleotides) under Ditylum brightwellii. Lineage: Eukaryota; Bacillariophyta; Thalassiosirophyceae; Lithodesmiales; Lithodesmiaceae. The record is from RNAcentral.